GGGAUGCAACGUUACUCGGAAUUACUGGGCGUAAAGCGUCUGCAGGCGUCCUAAAAAGUCUGGUGUAAAAUUUCGGAGCUCAACUCCGGAAGCGUGCCGGAAACUCUUAGGAUCGAGUCACUCAGAGGCCCCGGAAUGUCGUGUGUAGGGGUAAAAUCCGUUGAUCCACGAUGGAACGCCAAAAGCGAAGGCAGGGUGCUGGGGGUGUACUGACGCUCAGAGACGAAAGCGUGGGGAGCAAAGGGGAUUAGAUACCCCCGUAGUCCACGCCCUAAACGAUGCGUGCUCGGUGUAGGAGUUUUCAAUUGCUCCUGUGCCCAAGCUAACGCGGUAAGCACGCCGCCUGGGAAGUACGGCCGCAAGGCUAAAACCCAAAGGAAUAGACGGGGACCCACACAAGCGGUGGAACAUGGGGUUUUAAUUCGAUGAUAAACGAAAGAACCUCACCCCAGACUUUGACAUCCCGAGAAUCUCGUUCGAAAGACGGGAAUUGCCCGCCAAGGAACUCC
RNAcentral lists this ribosomal RNA (509 nucleotides) under uncultured bacterium. Its description in RNAcentral is "bacterial SSU rRNA". It matches the Rfam family "Bacterial small subunit ribosomal RNA", at positions 529 to 1030 of the family's 1533-position model. The record is from RNAcentral.